Molecule: long non-coding RNA, 899 nt
Filed under: Homo sapiens (human)
Lineage: Eukaryota; Metazoa; Chordata; Mammalia; Primates; Hominidae
Description: HSALNT0234433
Source: RNAcentral
GGGCUGCCUCGGGGCCUGCUCCCGCGCGGCUGGCGGCUUGUACUCCGGUCCUAACACCUGACCGCCUAAAGGCACCGGCCCAGCCCCUCCUCUCUUUCCCGACUGCACUGCACAAGUGCCGCCUCCUCUCUAGAUCCGAGCGCCUCCAGCCUCCCGGUGCAUCAGAGUCACCUGGGAACUCCUGCACCGGAGGAUUCCUGGGCUCCGAAAUCAGAAUCCUAGAGAUUCAGAUUCAGUGUGUCUGGGAGGAGCCAAGGAAUAUGCUUGCUUAAGAGGUGUUUGUGGCAAUCCUCUGGCAUGGUAGGUAGCCUUUGUUUGACCCCUGCCUAGGCACUCACCAUUCGCGUCAGUGUCUUACACACAUGACGCUCAGAGCCACAGAGGUUGGAGGGGUGUGUGAGUGUGUGUGGAGAGAGAGAGAAUAUGUCUAUAUGUAUGGAUGUAUGUACACAUACGCACGCAUAUACACAUACAUAUGUAUGUAAAAGAGACAUGGAGACAGAGAGACUGAUGGAAAGCCAUACCCUUGAGCAAAUGCCAGAAUGAGACAAAGAGUUUUCUUUGAAAUAGUUUUCAGAUAAUUGCAGUUAUCAAGGCAUAUUUAUUUUGUCCUCUAGAAAGAUAGGCCUGAACUCUAGUUCCCCCUCCUUCCCCAAUCCAUUACAAUCUGUAGAAGAGAAUGUCACAUACCAGCCAUGUCUCCCACAUGCAAAAUUGCAGGAGGCAUUAGGAACACAGUGGGAUUUUGUUCCACUCUGAUGGAAAUAUGGCAUCUUUGGUUGGAGGGUGAGGGAGCCAUGUACUUGGUUGACUAUGUCUAGGUGCUAGGAUUUCUAUAGGUAGAACCCUUUGGUGCAGGUCUUGCAGUAUAAAAGACACCUGGAGGUAGUUCUGUAUGA